UCGUUGCAACACAAAGCUCAAGAAAAAUUAACUUCUAAAUGGAGGGGAGAGGAGAGAAGAAAAACCAGACUCGGAACGUACCCACUGCUGCCGUGCGGGUCUGAAAUGUGCCCAGAAAGCCUUGCGUUCAAGAGCCAUGGACUAAGACUGUGAGCCGAAAUAAACCUCCUCUUGACAAGGCUGAUUAUCUGGAGGACUCGUCACAGACACAGGAAGCUCACUAACGCAACCACCAUUUAAUGCAAGAAUGUUCUGGAAGUGAUGACAAAAAUAUCAGGACCAGAAUAGGGGACAGUUCAAGGAGGCAUCCAGGAGGGAAAGGUUUCACCACCGCCUGGCUGGCAAACAAUGGGCACCUUGGAAAACCAACAGAGCCACCAUACUGUACAGGAGAGAGAAACAACCCAGUGUAUUCCAGCGACAGGAAAUAGGGCCCACAAAGAAAUGUUUUCUGUUUUGUUCCUUCAGUAAUAAAAUAUCAUCACACCACAGCCAAUUGCUGCUCCUCCCUUUAGAAGGAAGCCCUGCUGUACCUGCUCUUUCAUCUCCUGGAUGGAAAAUGUCUAUCGGCUGGAAAUGCUUGCACAGUAGAAGAUAAACCGACAGAUGGAUGCCUGAGGCACUUGCUCUGGGGAAACAUGACGUGGACGUAACUUUUGCCUUGCCUCCCUCUCCACACCUUCAAUUCCCUAGGAUGGAUUACAUGACUCGG
Molecule: long non-coding RNA, 712 nt
Organism: Heterocephalus glaber (naked mole-rat)
Lineage: Eukaryota; Metazoa; Chordata; Mammalia; Rodentia; Bathyergidae
Source: RefSeq, a predicted model, not a curated record